CAUAUUUCAUAUUGGAAAAGUAUUUGUGCUAGUGAAUUUGUUUUAGAUGUUCUUGAAAAUGGAUAUUUCAUUCCUUUCAUUUCUACUCCUCCCAGAACAGUUCAUAAAACAAUAAGUCAGUGUUAGACAAUGAACUUUUUGUUACGGAAGCAAUAUCAGAUCUUUUAAAUAAUAAAUGUGUAACUCAAGUUAAACUUAGGCCCCAUGUACUUAAUCCGUUAAGAGUUUCGACUAACAAAUAAGGGAAGAAAAUACUGAUUUUAGAUUUACGAG
This 273-nucleotide long non-coding RNA is filed under the name Mytilus galloprovincialis (Mediterranean mussel). The record is from RNAcentral. Lineage: Eukaryota; Metazoa; Mollusca; Bivalvia; Mytilida; Mytilidae.